UUACGGUCAAAUCACGCUGAAACACCGGUUCUCGUUCGAUCACCGAAGUUAAGCAUCGUAGAGCCAGGUCAGUAGUUAGAUGGGGGACCGCUUGGGAACACCUGGUACUGUAAG
RNAcentral lists this ribosomal RNA (114 nucleotides) under Acanthosepion pharaonis. The record is from RNAcentral. Lineage: Eukaryota; Metazoa; Mollusca; Cephalopoda; Sepiida; Sepiidae.